Molecule: long non-coding RNA, 5236 nt
Filed under: Macaca fascicularis (crab-eating macaque)
Lineage: Eukaryota; Metazoa; Chordata; Mammalia; Primates; Cercopithecidae
Description: lncRNA (ENSMFAG00000063274.1)
Source: RNAcentral
GAGGCGUGGGUUGCAGUGAGCAGAGAUCGCGCCACUGCACUCCAGCCUGAGCGACAGAGUGAGACUCUAUCUCAAAAAAAAAAAAAAAAGAAAAGAAAAAAAGAAAAGAAAUAAAUAAUACAGAGACCUCUUUCGUGUACCUUUUCCCACACAGUGAACAUCUUUCAGAACUGUCGUACAAUAUCAUACCCAGGAUAUUGACACUGGUAUAGCUAAGAUACAGAACGUUUCCACACAGAACUUCUUCUAGCACAGAGAUCCCUCAUCUUGCCUUUGAUGACCAUACCCACUUCACUCCCAUCCCUACUCCCUUCUUAACCCUUGGCAACCUUACUCUGUUCUCCAUUUUUAUAGUUUUUUUUUUUCAAUUUCAAUAAAGCUAUAUAACUGGAAUCAUAAUAUGUAACCUUUUGGGAUUGGCUUUUUUUCAUUUAGCAUGAUUUUCUGGAGAUUAAUCCAGCUUAUUGUGUGUAUCAAGUCUAUUGACAGGUACUUUUUAGUGUGAAUAGAAUCCCUUAGCUUAGAUGUACCACCGUUUGUUUAACUGUUCACCUGCUGAGAGACAUUGGGCCAGUUUUUGGCUACUAUAAAUAAAGUUGCUAUAAAUGUGUGUACAAGUUUUUGUGUGAACAUAAUCUAGUUUUCAGGGUCAAAUACCCAGCAGUUAUAUACUAGUUGGGGCAUAUAGUAGUUGAAUGUUUAGUUUUUAAGAAGUUGCCAAAGUUACAUAGCGUAGCUGUACUAUUUUGUAUACCCACCAGUGGUGUAUGAGUGAUCCAGUUGCUUCAUGUCCUUUUCAGCAUUUGGUGGUAUCUCUACUUUUUAUUUCAGUCAUUCUGAUAGGUGUAUAGUGACAGCUCAUUGCAGUUUUGAUUUGCCAUUUACCCUGUGCUAAUGGCAAUGAUGUUGAGCAUCUUUGUUUCAUAUGCUUAUUUGUCACCUCUCUCUCUUCUUUAGUGACAUGUUUCUUCAUGUCUUUUCUUUCUAAUUGGAUUUUUUCUGUUGAGUUUUGAGGGCUUUUAAAUAAUGUGUGUGUGUCCGUGUGUCUGUGUGUGUGUGUUUUUUUUUUCCAGAUACUAGUCCUUUGUUGGAUGUGUGAUUUGCAAAUAUUUCCUCCCAGUCAGUAGCAUGUCUUUUCAUUUCUCUUUUCUGGGCCUUUCACAGAGCAGAAGUGUUUAAUUUUGAUGAAGUCCACUCUGUCCAUUUUUCUUUUUAUGGAUCAUGCUUCUGGUAUAAAGAACUUUGCCUCUCUCUUUAGAUCCCCAAAAUGUUCUCUUUUAUGUUCUUUUCUAAAUGUAUUAUAGUUUACAUUUUACUUUUCCAUUUUGAGUUAAUUUUGUAUAAAAUGUGAGACUUAGGUCUAGGUUCAUUUUUGUUGUUGUUGCCUAUGGAUAUUCAAUUACCCCAACAUGAUAUUUGUUGUAAAGGCUCUCUUUUCUCCAUUGAAUUGUUUUUGCACCUCUGUCAAAAAUCAGUUGAGCAAAAAUGAGUUAACGAGAAAUCAAUUGGACAUAUUUGUGUGGGUCUUAUCUGGGUUUUCUAUUCUUUUCCAUUAGACUAUGUGUCUAUACCUCCACCAAGACCAGAAUAUUGAUUACCGUGGUAAGUCUUGAAAUCAAAUAGCUGAUUUAUUCCACUUUAUUCUUUUUCAAAAUUGUUUUAGCCACUUAGUUCCUUUGUCUUCCCAUAUAAGUUCUAGAAUAAUCUUGUCUGUAUCUAUUCAAAUAUCUUGCUGGGAUUUUGAUAGGAACUAUGUUAUACCUAUACAUCAAUUUGGGGAGAUUUGACAUCUUUACCGUGUUAAGCCUUCCCAUUCAUGAUCACAGGAUCACUUCACUUCUUUUUAAUUUUGUUUUCUUUACCAUGUUAAGCCUUCCCGUUCAUGAUCAUAGGAUCACUUCACUUCUUUUAAUUUUGUUUUCCUUAAUCAGUAUUGUGUGGUUUUUCAGCAUACAAGUUCUGUACAUUUUUGUUAGAUUUAUACCUAAGCAAUUUAAUGUUUGAGAGAGAUUGCAAAUAGCAUUGUAUUUUGAAUUUCCAUGUUCACAUGUCUGUUCUAAGUAUAUAGAAAUAAAGUGAAUUUUUCUAUUUUGUAUACUGAGACUUUAAUGAGCCCACUUACUCAUUUUAAGGGAUUUUGAUUGAUUCCUGGGACUUUUAUUUUUUUUUUUUAACAUAGACAGUCGUGUCAUCUGCAAAUAAUGAAUAGUUUUAUUUCUUCAUUUCUGACCUGUAUUCCUUUUUUUCCUUUCAUUGCCUUAAAGCAGUGGGUAGAAAUUCCAGCAGAAAUAAGAGCAGCGAGAGUAGAGAUCCUUGACUUGUUUCUGGUCUUAGGAGGAAAGGACUCAGUGUUUCAUCAUGAAGUAUAAUGUUAUCUGUAGGUUUUUAAAGCAGAUGCUUGCUAAAGUUAAGGAAGUUAUCCUUUAUUCCUUUUUUUUCUGCAAAUUUUUAUUAUGAAUUUGUGUUGAAUUGUCAAAUGCUUUUUCUGCAUUAAUUUAUAUAAUCAUGUCAUUUUUCUUCUUUAGCCCAUUAAUGUGGUAGAUACAUUGAUUGCUUUUUGAAUGUUGAACCACUGUUACAUCCUUGAGAUAAACUCCACUUGGUCAUAGGGUAUAUUUGUAUAUAUAGUGUCAUUCUUUUGGCUAAUGUUUUGUUAAGGAUUUUUGCAUCUGUUUUAAUGAGACAUACUGGUUGGUGGUAUCAGGGUAGUACUAGCUUCAAAAUGAACUGGGAAAUAUUCCUUUCUCUUCUGUUUUCUAAUGGAGAUUGUAUAGAAUUGGUGUCAGUGCUUUUUAAAACAUUUGAUAGAACUUUCCAAUGAAAUCAUCUGGGCCUGGAGAUUUUUGGGGAGGGAGUUCUUUUUAUUAUAAUUUCAACUUUUACAACAGUUAUAUGGCUAUUUAAUAUAUCUGUUUCAUAUUGAGUUGUGAUAGUUUGUAUUUUUAGAGGAAUUAGUCCAUUUCAUCUAAGCUGUCAGAUUUAUAUGUAGAGUUUUUGGUUGUACUUUCUGUUAGACUUUUGAUGUCUGAUAUUCCAAAACUCCUUCAUUUAUCAUUUCCUUUCUAUUUAGAGCACUCCUUUAGCCUUAUUAUUAUUAUUGUAGUUCCACUGGCAACAAAUUCUCUUAGUUUUCUUUCAUCUGAAAAUGUCUUGAUUUUCCCUUCAUAUCUGAAGAAUAUUUACACUGGACAUAGACUUGUAGGUUGAUAGUUCUUUUCUUUCAGCACUUGAAAAUUGUUCUGCCGCUUCCAGCCGAGAGAGGUGGCUCACGCCUGUAAUCCCAGCACUUUGGGAAACCGAAGCAGGCAGAUCACUUGAGGUCAGGAGUUAGAGACCAGCCUGGCUAACAUGGCAAACCCCCGCCUCUACUAAAAAUACAAAAACUAGCCAGCAUGGUGGUGCACAUCUGUAAUCCCAGCCAUUUGGGAAGCUGAGGCAGGAGAAUCACUUGAACCUAUAGGCGGAGAUUACAGUGAGCCGAGAUCGCACCACUGUACUCCAGUCUGAGCAACAGAAUGAGACUCCUCAAAAAAAAAAAAAAAAAAGGAAAGAAAAUUUCAUAGUUCCCCAUGAAAAAUCCAGUUUUUUACAUUGUUUUGAUUCCUGUAGAUAGGUGUCAUUUGUCUUUUUUCUUUUUCUUUUUUUCUUUGUGUUUAGUUUUUAACUAUGAUGUAUCUUGUAGAUUUGGGGUUUUAUUAUAUUUGAGGUCUUCUCACCAUCUGUAUGUUUAUGUCUUUUGCCAGAUUUGGGGAGUUUUCAGCCAUCAUUUUUUUCAAGAAUUUUUUCAGUCUUGCCUUCUUUGUUUUAUCUUUGUUUCUUUGUUUUAUCUUCAAAUUUAUUCAUUCUUUCUGCAGUAGCUUCCAUUCUGCUAUUGAGCCUAUCAAUUAAGUGUUUCAUAUUGAUUCCUGCAUUUUUCAGUUUUAAAAUUUCUGGCCCUUUACGGAAAAUGUUGGCUGAUCCCCUGGAGUAUAAACUCAUACUGUAGAAGAGAAGAUCAAGUUAAACAAAAGUUGGUCUCUUUAAAUAAAUACAUAAAGUACACAUAACUUGGUGAAACUGAUCUGGAAAAAAAUAGAAGACAUAAAAAAUUUAGGAAUGAAAAUACAGAUAAAUAACCAAACAUAGAGUUUAAAAUAAUAAGACACUAUAAACAACUUUAUGCCAAUAUAUCACAAAACAGAAAAUGAAUAAUUUAUAUGAAAAAUGCAAAUUACCAAAAUCAACUAAGGUGUAUAUGAUUUCUGCUUCCUGCCAUAUGGUUGACUAGGUAUACUCAAGGAUCCUUCUGCUAAAAUACAACUAGUUCUUGGAUAAAAUACAACACACAUAAUAUUAGUUCAUCUCCUGGCUCAUUAGAAAGAAAGAUAAUCACUAAAGGUUAUUACCAAUGAAAGUGGGCUAAAAUUAAAGUAGUUGAGAAACAGGAAAACUGUGCCUCUGAGACUAAGCCAUGGACUCCAGGCAAAGUAAAGAAAGUGAACCUAAGACUCCUUCAUAAAACCAGGAAUGCUUUAAAGCAUUAAAGUAGUCCUAAGUCAGUGGACUCUGGUGGUUACUCUAAGAAGUGGAUGAAAAUCCCCUCUGAAGGAAAGCCUCCCUAAUUAAUGCUUCUAGAUUAAUCACACAUGCAAGGAAACACACCAUUUGCGUUGAGAAACAGUAGAUUUAGAUAUUCAGGGAAUUCAGGUAUUGCAAUUAGCAGAAGUAGAAUAACAGUUAUAUGUUUAAAUAAAUAAUGUAUGAAUUAAAAUGAACAUGAAAUAAAAGAUAUGUUAAAAGGCAGAUAUUAAAAAGAACCAAAGACAACUUAGUCAUGAAAUUUAAUUCUUGAAAUAUAUAACAUAAUGAAUGGUUUAAGAGCAGAUUCAUCACAACUAAAGGAAUUGUUGACUAUCAAGUUUUAACUGAGGAAACAACAUAUUGCAGCAAAAACAGAUGAAGGGAUAGAAAAUAUGAAUUAGAGAUUACGAGACCUGAAGGAUAAAAUGGGAAGGUUUAGUUUGUGCUAAUUGGAGUCUAAGAAGUAGAAAACAGAAAAAAAUUGAGGUAAUUGCUGACAAAUUUCCAGAGCUAAGAAAAGCUUGGGACCCGGUGUGGUGGCUCAUGCCUGUAAUCACAGCAUUUGGGGAGGCCAAAGCAGAAGGAUCACUUGAAACCAGGAGUUUCAGAUCAAGCUGGGAAAUGAAGCAAGAGCCCCCACUCUAUCUCCAUCUCUGCAAAAAUAAAAAAUAAAAAA